AUGGUGAGAAUGUGAGAAUAUAUAGAAAAUUUAACAUAAACAAGCAAAUUGUAUAAACAGAAAAGGACAUAAUUAAAGAGUAUCAGGAGAAGGCAUAAAUGUAAAAGAAUAAAUUAAAAAGAGAGAGAGAGAGAACAACGGACAAAUAAAAAAACAGUAAGAUGAAAUCAAUACUUUAUUCGGAUGAUGUUUUCUGCUGUCACUUAGGGAAAAGAAUUCCCCAAAUUGCAGUCACCUACAGAUGAACACAAUUACUUACAAAAUGGACAACAGCACUUCUACUAAUCAUUAUACAACAACAACUUGAAGGAGUUGUUUUUAUAUUGUAACAGUAAA
This is a long non-coding RNA of Octopus bimaculoides (California two-spot octopus), 336 nucleotides long. NCBI's taxonomy places the organism in Eukaryota, Metazoa, Mollusca, Cephalopoda, Octopoda, Octopodidae. The record is from RefSeq and is a predicted model, not a curated record.